Molecule: ribosomal RNA, 301 nt
Filed under: uncultured bacterium
Lineage: Bacteria
Description: partial 16S ribosomal RNA
Rfam family: Bacterial small subunit ribosomal RNA
Source: RNAcentral
CAGCAGCCGCGGGAAUACGUAGGUGGCAAGCGUUGUCCGGAAUUAUUGGGCGUAAAGCGCGCGCAGGCGGAUAGGUCAGUCUGUCUUAAAAGUUCGGGGCUUAACCCCGUGAGGGGAUGGAAACUGCUGAUCUAGAGUAUCGGAGAGGAAAGUGGAAUUCCUAGUGUAGCGGUGAAAUGCGUAGAUAUUAGGAAGAACACCAGUGGCGAAGGCGACUUUCUGGACGAAAACUGACGCUGAGGCACGAAAGCGUGGGGAGCAAACAGGAUUAGAUACCCCAGUAGUCCCUGUCUCUUAUACA